RNAcentral lists this ribosomal RNA (427 nucleotides) under uncultured Coxiella sp. RNAcentral describes it as "bacterial SSU rRNA". It matches the Rfam family "Bacterial small subunit ribosomal RNA", at positions 933 to 1359 of the family's 1533-position model. The record is from RNAcentral. Lineage: Bacteria; Pseudomonadati; Pseudomonadota; Gammaproteobacteria; Legionellales; Coxiellaceae.
UGGAGCAUGUGGUUUAAUUCGAUGCAACGCGAAAAACCUUACCUACCCUUGACAUCCUCGGAACUUGUCAGAGAUGAUUUGGUGCCUUCGGGAACCGAGUGACAGGUGCUGCAUGGCUGUCGUCAGCUCGUGUCGUGAGAUGUUGGGUUAAGUCCCGUAACGAGCGCAACCCUCGUCCUUAGUUGCCAGCGAGUCAAGUCGGGAACUCUAAGGAGACUGCCGGUGAUAAACCGGAGGAAGGUGGGGAUGAUGUCAAGUCAUCAUGGCCCUUACGGGUAGGGCUACACACGUGCUACAAUGGGCAGUACAAAGGGUUGCCAAGCCGCGAGGUGGAGCUAAUCCCAGAAAACUGCUCGUAGUCCGGAUUGGAGUCUGCAACUCGACUCCAUGAAGUUGGAAUCGCUAGUAAUCGCGAAUCAGCAUGUCG